Molecule: ribosomal RNA, 143 nt
Filed under: uncultured eukaryote
Lineage: Eukaryota
Description: partial 18S ribosomal RNA
Rfam family: Eukaryotic small subunit ribosomal RNA
Source: RNAcentral
UGGUGGAGUGAUUUGUCUGGUUAAUUCCGUUAACGAACGAGACCCCGACCUGCUAAAUAGAGUGUCGAAUGUUUUCUCAUUCGGUCACAUACUUCUUAGAGGGACCACGGUGCUUAACGCCGGGGAAGUUCGAGGCAAUAACA